CUGAUGCAGCAACGCCGCGUGAGGGACGACGGCCUUCGGGUUGUAAACCUCUUUUAGCAGGGAAGAAGCGAAAGUGACGGUACCUGCAGAAAAAGCACCGGCUAACUACGUGCCAGCAGCCGCGGUAAUACGUAGGGUGCAAGCGUUAUCCGGAAUUAUUGGGCGUAAAGAGCUCGUAGGCGGUUUGUCGCGUCUGCUGUGAAAACUGGGGGCUCAACCCCCAGCCUGCAGUGGGUACGGGCAGACUAGAGUGCGGUAGGGGAGAUUGGAAUUCCUGGUGUAGCGGUGGAAUGCGCAGAUAUCAGGAGGAACACCGAUGGCGAAGGCAGAUCUCUGGGCCGUAACUGACGCUGAGGAGCGAAAGGGUGGGGAGCAAACAGGCUUAGAUACCCUGGUAGUCCACCCCGUAAACGUUGGGAACUAGUUGUGGGGUCCAUUCCACGGAUUCCGUGACGCAGCUAACGCAUUAAGUUCCCCGCCUGGGGAGUACGGCCGCAAGGCUAAAACUCAAAGGAAUUGACGGGGACCCGCACAAGCGGCGGAGCAUGCGGAUUAAUUCGAUGCAACGCGAAGAACCUUACCAAGGCUUGACAUAUACGAGAACGCUGCAGAAAUGUAGAACUCUUUGG
This 629-nucleotide ribosomal RNA is filed under the name Microbacterium sp. So2Pw_1238. Its description in RNAcentral is "bacterial SSU rRNA". It matches the Rfam family "Bacterial small subunit ribosomal RNA", at positions 383 to 1021 of the family's 1533-position model. Lineage: Bacteria; Bacillati; Actinomycetota; Actinomycetes; Micrococcales; Microbacteriaceae. The record is from RNAcentral.